RNAcentral lists this ribosomal RNA (776 nucleotides) under uncultured Neocallimastigales. Its description in RNAcentral is "partial large subunit ribosomal RNA". It matches the Rfam family "Eukaryotic large subunit ribosomal RNA", at positions 22 to 644 of the family's 3401-position model. Lineage: Eukaryota; Fungi; Neocallimastigomycota; Neocallimastigomycetes; Neocallimastigales. The record is from RNAcentral.
CAUAGCGACUAUCGUGGCAUAUCAAUAAGCGGAGGAAAAGAAACUAACAAGGAUUCCCUUAGUAACGGCGAGUGAAGCGGGAAGAGCUCAAAUUUGAAAUCUUCAAGGUUCUACCUUGACGAAUUGUAGUUUAUAGAAGUGUUUUCUGUUAGUGGAGUGGCAAAAGUUCUUUGGAAUAGGACAUCAUAGAGGGUGAGAAUCCCGUAUUUGGUCAUUCCUCCUAGCGUUGUGAUACACUUUCAACGAGUCGGAUUGUUUGGGAAUGCAGUCCAAAAUGGGUGGUAAAUUUCAUCUAAAGCUAAAUAUUGGCGAGAGACCGAUAGCGAACAAGUACCGUGAGGGAAAGAUGAAAAGAACUUUGAAAAGAGAGUUAAACAGUACGUGAAAUUGUCAAAAGGGAAGCGUUUGACACCAGUGUUGUUUUUCCGAAAAUCAAUUACGAAUGUUUUGUUUUUGAGGAGUUAUGACUUCAUCGGCUUGCUCCUUUCUUUACGAAACUUUCUUAAUGCACUUUUCGGUUAACAAGUCAACAUCAAUUUCUUUUGUUGUAAGAGGGUAUGAGGAAGGUGGCUUUCUUUUCGGAGAAAGUGUUUAUAGCCUUGUAGCCUCUGCAAUCGGAGAGAUUGAGGUCUGCAGCGUAGAUCCUUCGGGGUUAGAUACAGUUUGUGCUAAGUUAUAGCUUUUCAUAGACAACUUGUUGACUAUGUUUAGUCUUGUAGCUUACUCGCUGAUGCUAUUUUACCUACGCUUAGGAUGUUGAUAGUCACAGCGUGUAC